This 429-nucleotide ribosomal RNA is filed under the name uncultured bacterium. RNAcentral describes it as "bacterial SSU rRNA". It matches the Rfam family "Bacterial small subunit ribosomal RNA", at positions 917 to 1345 of the family's 1533-position model. The record is from RNAcentral.
GGACCCGCACAAGUAGUGGAGCAUGUGGUUUAAUUCGAAGAUACGCGCAGAACCUUACCAACACUUGACAUGUUCGUCGCGACUUUAAGAGAUUAAAGUUUUCGGUUCGGCCGGACGAAACACAGGUGCUGCAUGGCUGUCGUCAGCUCGUGUCGUGAGAUGUUGGGUUAAGUCCCGCAACGAGCGCAACCCUCACUUUUAGUUGCCAUCAUUUAGUUGGGCACUCUGAAAGAACUGCCAGUGAUAAGCUGGAGGAAGGUGGGGAUGACGUCAAGUCCUCAUGGCCCUUACGUGUUGGGCUACACACGUGCUACAAUGGCAUUUACAAUAGGAAGCAAGACGGCGACGUUAAGCAAAUCCUAAAAAAUGCCUCAGUUCGGAUUGUACUCUGCAACUCGAGUACAUGAAGCUGGAAUUACUAGUAAUCGC